Molecule: ribosomal RNA, 501 nt
Filed under: uncultured bacterium
Lineage: Bacteria
Description: partial 16S ribosomal RNA
Rfam family: Bacterial small subunit ribosomal RNA
Source: RNAcentral
AUUGAACGCUGGCGGCAGGCUUAACACAUGCAAGUCGAGCGGGGGAAGGUAGCUUGCUACCGGACCUAGCGGCGGACGGGUGAGUAAUGCUUAGGAAUCUGCCUAUUAGUGGGGGACAACAUCUCGAAAGGGAUGCUAAUACCGCAUACGUCCUACGGGAGAAAGCAGGGGAUCUUCGGACAUUGCGCUAAUAGAUGAGCCUAAGUCGGAUUAGCUAGUUGGUGGGGUAAAGGCCUACCAAGGCGACGAUCUGUAGCGGGUCUGAGAGGAUGAACCGCCACACUGGGACUGAGACACGGCCCAGACUCCUACGGGAGGCAGCAGUGGCGAAUAUUGGACAAUGGGGGGAACCCUGAUCCAGCCAUGCCGCGUGUGUGAAGAAGGCCUUAUGGUUGUAAAGCACUUUAAGCGAGGAGGAGGCUACUCUAGUUAAUACCUAGGGAUAGUGGACGUUACUCGCAGAAUAAGCACCGGCUAACUCUGUGCCAGCCGCCGCCGUAA